RNAcentral lists this ribosomal RNA (253 nucleotides) under uncultured bacterium. RNAcentral's name for it is "partial 16S ribosomal RNA". It matches the Rfam family "Bacterial small subunit ribosomal RNA", at positions 524 to 776 of the family's 1533-position model. The record is from RNAcentral.
UACGUAGGGUGCAAGCGUUGUCCGGAAUUAUUGGGCGUAAAGAGCUCGUAGGCGGUUUGUCGCGUCUGCUGUGAAAACCCGGGGCUCAACUCCGGGCUUGCAGUGGGUACGGGCAGACUAGAGUGCGGUAGGGGAGACUGGAAUUCCUGGUGUAGCGGUGGAAUGCGCAGAUAUCAGGAGGAACACCGGUGGCGAAGGCGGGUCUCUGGGCCGUAACUGACGCUGAGGAGCGAAAGCAUGGGGAGCGAACAGG